RNAcentral lists this ribosomal RNA (492 nucleotides) under uncultured bacterium. RNAcentral describes it as "partial 16S ribosomal RNA". It matches the Rfam family "Bacterial small subunit ribosomal RNA", at positions 29 to 507 of the family's 1533-position model. The record is from RNAcentral.
AGUGAACGCUGGCGGUAGGCCUAACACAUGCAAGUCGAACGGCAGCACAGUAAGAGCUUGCUCUUACGGGUGGCGAGUGGCGGAAGGGUGAGGAAUACAUCGGAAUCUACUUUUUCGUGGGGGAUAACGUAGGGAAAAUUACGCUAAUACCGCAUACGACCUACGGGUGAAAGCAGGGGAUCUUCGGACCUUGCGCGAUUGAAUGAGCCGAUGUCGGAUUAGCUAGUUGGCGGGGUAAAGGCCCACCAAGGCGACGAUCCGUAGCUGGUCUGAGAGGAUGAUGAGGCACACUGGGACUGAGACACGGUCCAGACUCCUACGGGAGGCAGCAGUGGGGAAUAUUGGACAAUGGGCGCAAGCCUGAUCCAGCCAUACCGCGUGGGUGAAGAAGGCCUUCGGGUUGUAAAGCCCUUUUGUUGGGAAAGAAAAGCAGCAGGUUAAUACCCCGCUGUUCUGACGGUACCCAAAGAAUAAGCACCGGCUAACUUCGUG